CUUAUCUGUACUCUCUGCCUUCAACUUCUCUCCAGUCUUUGCAGAUGUCUGCCUCAACACCAAAAAUGAGUUCAACACUAGUGCAUUUUAGCCACCCAAAACACUCCCUUGUACUAAAAGAUUUUGAUGUUGUUGGAGAUGAUGCUACAUGCCAUGUUUGUGACACAAGUGUUAUAGGCUCUCCAACAUAUACUUGUAGUGAUGAUAAUACUAAGUGUGAAGGUUUCUAUCUCCACAAGACUUGUGCAGAAUUAAGCACUCCAAUUACUUUCUAUAAGCACAACCAGCACCCCUUGAUCCUCUGUCCGGUUAAAGGGUCUUGUGAUGUUUGUUAUAAUCGUGUUGAGAAAUUCGCUUAUUUAUGUUCUGAUGAUUGUGAAUUUGUUGUGUGUGUGUUUUGCGCUUUUCAACAGAGAGCACUUGAUCAUCCAGGUCAUGAGCAGCACACGCUAACAUUGGUGCCCAGGGAAUCGUUAUUUGCUUGUGAUGCUUGUUCGGAAGAAGCUAAAGACUCUUCGUAUAUAUGCACCACUUGUGACUUUUGGAUUCACAAAAAAUGUGCUCUUUCGCCUUUAACAAUCCCCAAUCCUUCUUACCACCAUCAUCCUCUUGAUCUUAUCUACUCCAUUCCUAAAAUGCAUCGCUAUUUCACACGAUAUUGCAAUAUAUGUCACAAACGGGUUAUGAGAGAAGCCUGGCUGUAUUAUUGUCAUAAAUGUACAUAUUUCGUGCAUGUGAAAUGUGCUACAUCCUCACAUUCAUCACCUUCUGAGUAAGUACUUUGAACUCUUGGUUUUUUUUGGUGCCAUUUUGAUAAUCUGUUUUUCUAUUGUCAUGAUCUAAUGUCUUGAGUACUGCCAUGGCUUAACUAAUUCCGAACUUUUGCAGAAAUGAGAAUGAAGAAGAGGGCACUCCUAAUGAACCAGAUUUAGUAGAGUUUCCUCUGCCUACCGAAGAAUUGCUAUUUGAUCUGAUAAUAUCCCAGUGUUGCAAGCUCCAAGUUGAAUCUCAAGGUAAAGAUGAAAACACUAAUCCUAUAUCAACAGCUCCUGAUCCUCCCAUAAUUAAUCAACACUGGAGUCAUAUGGAGCAUCCACUAGUACACUUCCAGUUCACUACUAGUGAGAAUGAUGACAACGAAAAUAAUUAUAAGAGAAGAGAGUUGAUAUGCGAUGGUUGCAUUCAACCCAUAACUAUUUUCCAUCCAUCUUACUAUGCUUGUAUGAAAUGUGGUUUCUUUCUUCACUCCUUUUGUUCCACUAAGUUGCCAGCAGUAUUGCUAGCAGGAGUAUGUCCUGCUCAUCCCCAACAUUCGCUUCUUCUUUCCCAGAAAAACUACUUCUAUACUUUUGCAAAAUGUGAAAUUUGCUGUUACAGAACAAAUGGAUUCUACUUUCUUUGUGAGACGUGUGAUAUUAGAAUUGAUAUACGUUGUGCAUUCUUACCCACCAAGAUAAAGCAUAAAUCGCACAAGCACCAUUCCCUUGUUCAACGUCCAACCUCCAAUUUUAAAUGCAGUGCGAGUGGUUAUGAUUUUACAAGUCGUACACAAUAUGGAUGUGAAACUUGCAGUAACUUUCAUAUAGAUAUAGCAAGUGCAUUUUAUCCUGGUAGGAUGAAACACAGAUACGAUGAUCACCCUGUAACCUUGAGACAACCUCCAUUCUUCUACGAGGGAGUAUUCUAUUGUGAAAUAUGUGAAGACCAAGUUAAUAAUCAAUGGUGGCUCUAUCACUGUGAGGAAUGCGAUCAUUCUUUUCACAAUAAUUGCCUUCUUUGGGAUGGAAGUGUCAAGUUAGGAAGGAACAUUGAACUUGAUAUCAACGACCAACCACACACACUUACCUUGGUGGUGAAGUGUCGUAUAAAAAAGACCCAACCCAAGUACAACUGUAGAUAUUGUGGGAACAGCUUUAUCUGGAAUUACUUUUUGGAAUGUGAUGGGUGUGGAUAUCUUAUCUGCUGUCUCUGUGUUAGUGAAGUCAAGGCGAGUAACAAGUCCAUACACUUUUGAUGAUGGAGUGAGGUUGCCAGGCGAUUUGGGACGAGCAAAAAGGCUUGGAGAAUUUUAUUCGUUACUUAUGUUUUUGGCCUGAGAAAUACACAGACCCUCCUGGGCAGAGAAAUUGGCAAGGCAACCCACUUAUCUUCAUGUAUGGAACCCCUAUGUUUUAUAUUAUGUUCAUUAAAGUGUUGUUUUGUUUAAUGUAAUAUGAGGACUUAAAGCUGUUUCCAGUUGUAAGCCAAAAAAUGUAUGUUUCUGUAAUAAGAAGCCGACUUAAAGUAAAAAAUAAGCCAGAAACUGACUUAAAGUCAGAAGUUAGUUUAAGGGUAACAUCCCAAAAGAUGAAAACAGCUCCUGAUCCUCCCAUAAUUAAAGAACACUACCAGUAAAAAUGACAACGCCCAGUCGCCCACAAUAACUAAAAUAGAAGAGUGUCGAUUUGCAUUUAACAGUAGUAUUGCUAGCAGGAGACAGGAGUGUCUCCCCUUAAUCCCCAACAUUCACUUGUUCUUUACUUGUUUGGAUCUGUUAUUUUGCCAAGUGUGAAGUUUGUGGCUACCACACAAAUGGAUUCUGCUACCUCUGUAAGACACUAAGACACUAGACCUGUUAUAUUAGGAUUGAUAUGCGUUGUGCAUUCUUACUCUUGGGAAGAGCAAAUGCAAAAUGACUUUGGAGCAAGUUUACCUGUCAUGUUUUAGUUUAAAUAAAAUAAUUAGUCGUUAUUUGUUUUUAUGAAUAACAUAAUUUUGUUCAAUUAAAGUUUGGUUUGUUUAUUAUAAUAUUUUGUUUAUGUAUGUGUUUGUUUAGUAUAAAUAUUAAUCAGAUUCCCAAUUUGUUUUGGAAAAUAUGGUAAAAUAGUGUUCUUAUUUCUGCUGUGUGAUUUCAUUUUCUCCGUAAACUUUUUCUUGCUUAUAUGAGAUUAUAGUAAUAAUUAAGAGAAUAGAGAAGUAGUAACUAUUAUUUUACAUUCUUUUAUAUAUAAUUCAGUUGAAAUGAACUUCAGUUCGAAAAAAACUAAACCUCAUCAACAAAACAAACAGUCUUCAUGGCAGAGAAAUUGGGACCUGAAAAACGACACAGCUUCCUCCACGGCAGUAUGUUCUCAAUCUCUUCCUCCUCUUUAUCUAUCAUCACAUAUAUACACAAGUACCAUCUUUCUUAUAUGUCCAUUUAUUAGGAUUAAAACAGCUCAACUAAAGCUUGUAUUGUUAUGAUUAAAAUUCAGCCAGAAGGUGUUUGAAUGGAUCAAACACUUGAAGAAGUGAAUAUGUGCAUAAUUUUUGCUUCAUUUUGAUGUUUUGUGAUGAUCCUUUUGUUGUUUUUCGCAGCAUGAUUUGUAUUCUCAUGUAAAGACUGGUUCUUUAUUUUGGACUAUAGGUGUGUGUGCUAUGUGUUUAAGUUUUAUGUUAAUUGUUCAGAGCGGAAUUUUUUGAUGUUGGUUUUUGGUUGUUAGUAAUGGAUUUUUGUGAUUGGCAGAGGAUUUUUGUGACAAGGGGCAGGCUUGGCCUUCUCCUAUACAGGGUCAGGGUCAGGGUAAGCUUGAUCCUAUGGCAGGGGAUAUGGAGCACAAGCACCUCAUGCUUCAGAGGUUUCAGGAAGAGGUAAAUUAGCUGUCUGUGUUGUACAUGUCAUUUUAAUGUAGUCUUGAAGACAAGUGUUGUUGUGUGGAAGUGGAACAUCCCUUUGCCACUUAAUAGCAAAGGUUCUGUUAUGAACCUGUGGUACUAGCCACAAACACAAGUUAUUUAAGCAUGUUGGGCCCCCUAAUAAAAAAAAUUACUAGUAUAUUUUUUAAAUUUAUAUGUUAAGUUUGUGUUUAUUUUACUUAGUAUCCUUAAAAUAAUUACAUAACUCUCAAAAAUAGAAUAACAAAUUCCUAACUUCCAUUCAAAUAUCAUAUAAUACAUCAAAUUUUAGUUACUUAAGCGGUUCAAAAAUUUUAUGAUUCAAAAUUGGUGAUAUUUAUAUUUUUGGCCUUAAAAUUUGAUUAAUUUUUAGUCUCUGUAUACAUUUAUUUUAAACCCUUCCUUCGAUAAUACCGUUAUGUUAUAUUAUGCCCCCAGAUUAAUAUGUCUGGAUCCACCACUGCUUUAAUGCGACAUGUAUAUCCUAAGCUAAGUUGUAACUAUUUAGAUAAAAUCCUAAAGCGACAUGGACAAUUAUGUCGUUGCAGAAGUACUUUACUGUAAUUAUGUUGGAUGAUAAUUUGAAAGUUACUUAUUAUUAUAAAUUAUGUGUUGAUCCCUUUUGUAGAAAGCUAUAAGUUGCAGAGAGAAAGGAAGAAGAAAGAGUUUGUUAUGAAAACUGUAUUCUCUUGUGUUACAAACAAGACUGAAGAAAUGGACUUAUAUACAGAACUGUAUCCUCUAACCAACUAAUGUGCUAUGACAUAAUUACCCCUAACUUGUAACUACCUACUAGACUGUGCUUAUUGCUCCCUUUGAAUCUGAAUAAAUAAGUUAUCACGGACAAGGGUCCAUGGACCAUGAUGGUUCACAUGAGAGUUAUUUUCUUUCAUUGUAGUGCAUUGAUUAUCGUCAUAGCAGGACUUCUAGGGAGACUAAUUAUGUAUUAGUGGUAGGCGAUAUCAAACUGGAAUGACAUGUAAGAGCACAGGAAAUGCCCCAAAAUCAGGAUCCCCCUAGAGGAAAAAAGAAGAAGGUCAUCCGUGUAUCUGAUUGGUUCUAGCGACGGAUAACAUAAGGGGUCAGGAUGGAUUAAGCAAUGUCAAACCAAUUUCUUUUCAUCAUGCCAUGACUGAAAUCAUUUACUAGGUACUUUUACCAUUUCAAUGUAGCGAGGGAUAUCUGCUUUCUGACUUCAGUGUAGUGUUGUAAAUAUACCAGCAUAAAUCAUUUACUCCUUUAAGGUUAAGGAAGGUUUCCAGACGAUUUGGGAACAUCAAAAAGACUUUAGCGCAAUUUUAUCUGUCAUGUAUUGGUUUUAUUUAGUGUUGCAUUGUCUAAUAAUAUUAUAUCUUGUGUCUUUGCUGUCAUUUUUAUAAAUUGUUAUCGAUAUUGCUAAAGAAGUAUCUACCAACUGCCAAGACCUGGACCUCGUCUCUUGUUUAUGAAUUACUUUGUAGCCGUGGAGUUCAAUUUAGUUGGCACAGUAGGAGGACCUAACCUAUAUAGUUUUCAUUCUUUGGUGACAGACUCUACUCUUCUGCACCUCUGGUGUAGUAGUACAGUGCAGAUCCUGGGUCCUGUGAAUGAUUCAAUGAUUUAAGAUAGCAUGCCCAACCUUCAACAUCACAACAAAAUGGUGUAGAAAUCUGCAUUUUUGCCCUUCAUAAUUCUGACUCCUACUAAUCAGUAAUCACCAUCAUCGUCUUGCCAGUGGCCAGCCAAAAUUAGUCAUAUUAAUUUAUGCUAUGUUAUGUGUUAUUAUUAAAUGAAACUUAAAAAUGGUAAAAGGGGGAAAAGGAAAAGUAAAUGAAUAAAUGAAGACGAUGAAUAGAAGAAGAAAAAUAAACAAUAACGUGGGUGACCAUUAUCAUUAUGUGUUUGUGUUUGAAUGCCCAGUAAACACCCCCUUACUGGCCACAACUGCUUAGAUAACAAAUCUGAUACCACAUUCACAUUAUCUAGCUGAGUUUUAUGUAAUUUGUUCAUUUGUCAUUGGAGUUAGAAUAAGAUCUCACCGAUAUUCCUCUGAAUAAUAAAAUUUAUUCCUGUAACUAUGUCAGGAAUGUAAAGGAGCAUGAAAUAGAAAGAACAAAUACUACUAUUUCCAAAUGAAGUUUCUGAGUUCAUUCUGAGAUACAGUAGAAAACGUAUGGGUCAAUAUUAGUCUUUUUUCUGGAAUAGAGGAUCGAUCAGUCUCGACACUUUUAAUUUCUAGAAGCAGCUGGAUUCCAAGUCUUGUGAAGUGCUAAAAAAACUUGCAGAAAUUUUACAUAUGAUUAGCUACAGUUUGAGCAUAGGUAGCAUCAAUAAAACCAAUUUUCGACUUAGAUGAUUAUGAAAAAGUUUAGAGAUAGUUGAUCAAGAAUUACAGUAGUAAUAAUUCAUCCCUGGAUUAUCUGGGGGAUGCAAGUUAACGUCCAAGAUUGAACUUGUUGAGGUUGAUCCCGGGGUUGCAGCAGAGUAUGAAAAACUAAUUCUUUCCUAUACUAAACUUGGAAUACACGAUUAAAAAAAGCAAAAAGAAAAGGAAGAAUAAUAAAAAGAAAUGCCGAAUUUGGAAAAGGAAAAGAAAACACGGAAUAGUAAAAGAAAGUAAAUAGAAUAGACCGCACAAAUAGCAAGGAAAAAAAAAGAGAUGCGUGGGCACCAGUGAGAGGGAAAAGAAAAAGAAAAGAGAAGGAAAAUGAACUUGAAACUGAAGGAACAAAGAUCAUUGGCGUCCUUAAAUUGGUGUCCUAGGUGUUAAUCAUCAUUACCAUCAGAUGUCUGCCUCAAUACCCGAAAUGAGUCUAACACUAGAGCAUUUUAGCCACCCAAAACACUCAUUAGUACUUAAAGAUUUUGAUGUUGUUGGAGAUGAUGCUAUAUGCCAUGUUUGCGACACAAGUGUUAUAGGCUCUCUAACAUAUACUUGUAGUCGUAGUAGUGAUGAUGCUGAGUGUCAAGGCUUCUACCUCCACAAGAGUUGUGCAGAAUUACCCACUCCAAUUACUUUCUAUAAGCACAACCACCACCCCUUGA
This 6657-nucleotide long non-coding RNA is filed under the name Daucus carota (carrot). Its description in RNAcentral is "long non-coding RNA (DCAR_LNC002435)". The record is from RNAcentral. Lineage: Eukaryota; Viridiplantae; Streptophyta; Magnoliopsida; Apiales; Apiaceae.